UACGAAGGGGGCGAGCGUUGUUCGGAAUCACUGGGCGUAAAGGGCUCGUAGGCGGCCAACUAAGUCAUACGUGAAAUCCCUCGGCUUAACCGGGGAACUGCGUCUGAUACUGGAUGGCUUGAGAUUGGGAGAGGGAUGCGGAAUUCCAGGUGUAGCGGUGAAAUGCGUAGAUAUCGGGAGGAACACCGGUGGCGAAGGCGGCGACCUGGGACAAUACUGACGCUGAGGUGCGAAAGCGUGGGGAGCAAACAGG
This 253-nucleotide ribosomal RNA is filed under the name uncultured bacterium. RNAcentral describes it as "partial 16S ribosomal RNA". It matches the Rfam family "Bacterial small subunit ribosomal RNA", at positions 524 to 776 of the family's 1533-position model. The record is from RNAcentral.